RNAcentral lists this small RNA (210 nucleotides) under Ovis aries (sheep). RNAcentral's name for it is "7SK RNA (ENSOARG00000021599.1)". The stretch from base 1 to 98 matches the Rfam family "7SK RNA", at positions 1 to 108 of the family's 331-position model. Lineage: Eukaryota; Metazoa; Chordata; Mammalia; Artiodactyla; Bovidae. The record is from RNAcentral.
GGAUGUGAGGGCCAGCUGGCUGGCACACUUGUUACCCUAGUGAUCACCAAAGUUGACCUGGCUGACAAGGCAGGUGACCCCCUUAGUCCCACCACCCCACGUGUGUGUUUUCCUUUCUGCUUUUGCACGCUCUUGGUUCCCCAGGGCCCAAGCUCUCUCUCCUCUGAGGGACCUCCAUGAGCGGAAAGCAUUUUUCCCGAGCUCAUAGAG